Molecule: long non-coding RNA, 461 nt
Organism: Uranotaenia lowii
Lineage: Eukaryota; Metazoa; Arthropoda; Insecta; Diptera; Culicidae
Exons: 3
Source: RefSeq, a predicted model, not a curated record
GGGCGUCAGUUGUUUCGGCUUAGUUUUUCCUGCUUUUUUACGGUAUCGCCAAAUUUACUACAAAAAAUAGGAAAAUAUGAGCUGCCGGCUCCAAUGAAACAAUUGUUUUGUCAAGCGAUCCGGUUCCGAGUGCUCGCCAUGGAAGAAAAUAGAAUAGGCAAACCUCCUCCGCGACUUAGAAACUGGAAACAGAAAUAAAAAAUGCACAGCUGCCUGAAAAAUCAGACCCGAAAACGAAAAUUGUCAACCCGGAUGCAGGAUAACAAUUCCAAAGUAUUUCUUAAGGAACGAUGCGAACUUCAAUAAAGGCUCAUUAUGUGGUAUUUAGGUAUUUGAUUGAAGAGUCAUUCCGGAAAACCGAUGUUGUAUUCAAAUUAUGCUGGUUUGUCUAUUCCUGAUUCAACUUUGAUGGUGCUCAUAAACUCUUCAUGAGAUUUAUCGGAACGUGGAAGGACUGCCAU